Long non-coding RNA from Oreochromis aureus, 447 nucleotides. Lineage: Eukaryota; Metazoa; Chordata; Actinopteri; Cichliformes; Cichlidae. The record is from Ensembl.
UUAAAUGGAAGCAGCAGCAGAGGAGUUUUCAUAUUAUUUGGUGCAAGAUAAAGCGAGAGACAAUGGAAAUGAGGCAGAUGAGAGAGAACAAGAACAGCUCAGACUUCCUGAAGUUCCAACUCCCUGGUCUCAGUCCGAAAUGGAGAAUUUAAGUUAUAACUGGCUCUGCCCUGUCUUUCAGUCACAGCAAAGUGACUGAGUUUUCCCCAGCCAGAUCCAGGGCAAUUGGAACAGUGGAUGGAGGGGAUCUGGAUGCAUGGUGAUCUCUGGCUCUGUGGGUGAUCCUCAGUCACCAUGAAAGAAUAGGAACUCAUCUCUCCCAGGGAAAUGGCUUGUUUCAUAAUAUCCCUUCUACCUGGCAUAUGACUCCAGCUGCCUGUGAAGGGCCUGUUGGCUGUUUAUGGGAACUGUCACUGUGUUCACACUCUUGAGGAUUUAAGAAUUUCC